RNAcentral lists this ribosomal RNA (813 nucleotides) under Catapion seniculus. RNAcentral's name for it is "partial 16S ribosomal RNA". The stretch from base 1 to 583 matches the Rfam family "Bacterial large subunit ribosomal RNA", at positions 1809 to 2925 of the family's 2925-position model. The record is from RNAcentral. Lineage: Eukaryota; Metazoa; Arthropoda; Insecta; Coleoptera; Brentidae.
AAAAACAUGGCCUAAUGAUUAUAAUGUUAGGUCUAGCCUGCCCAAUGAAUAUUUAAAUGGCCGCGGUAUUUUGACCGUGCAAAGGUAGCAUAAUCAUUUGUUUUUUAAUUGAAAGCUGGAAUGAAAGGUUGAAUGAGGAAAUAACUGUCUCUAUUUAAUUAUUAGAAUUUUAUUUUUAAGUUAAAAAGCUUAAAUUUAAUUUGAAGACGAGAAGACCCUAUAGAGUUUAAUAAUUAAAUUAUUUAAUAAUUUUUGUAUUUAAUAAUAUUAAGUAUUUUAAUUAUUUAAUUGGGGUGAUUGAAAAAUUUAAUUAACUUUUUUUAUAUAUUUCCAUUAAUUAGUGAAAAAUUGAUCCUAUGAUUAGAUUAAAAGAUUAAAUUACCUUAGGGAUAACAGCGUAAUUUUUUUUUAGAGUUCUAAUCGAAAAAAUAGAUUGCGACCUCGAUGUUGGAUUAAAAUAAAAAUUUGGUGUAGAAGCUAAAUUAUUUGGUCUGUUCGACCAUUUAAAUUUUACUUGAUCUGAGUUCAAACCGGUGUAAGCCAGGUUGGUUUCUAUCUCUAAUUAGUUAAAAUAUUUUAGUACGAAAGGACCAAAUAUUUAAUUAAAAAUUUUUAUUUUGAAUUAUAUUGUUAUUUUGGCAGAUUAGUGCAAUAGAUUUAGAAUCUUUAUAUGUAAAUUUUACAAAUAACACUUGUUAUUAAAAGAUUUUACUUUAAUAAUAAUUUCUAGAUUAAUUUUGAUAUUAUGUGUUAUAAUUGGGGUUGCCUUUUUGACUUUAUUGGAGCGUAAAGUUUUAGGAUAUAUUCAAAUUC